RNAcentral lists this ribosomal RNA (268 nucleotides) under Escherichia coli. RNAcentral describes it as "partial 23S ribosomal RNA". It matches the Rfam family "Bacterial large subunit ribosomal RNA", at positions 2663 to 2925 of the family's 2925-position model. The record is from RNAcentral. Lineage: Bacteria; Pseudomonadati; Pseudomonadota; Gammaproteobacteria; Enterobacterales; Enterobacteriaceae.
UGAGGGGGGCUGCUCCUAGUACGAGAGGACCGGAGUGGACGCAUCACUGGUGUUCGGGUUGUCAUGCCAAUGGCACUGCCCGGUAGUUAAAUGCGGAAGAGAUAAGUGCUGAAAGCAUCUAAGCACGAAACUUGCCCCGAGAUGAGUUCUCCCUGACUCCUUGAGAGUCCUGAAGGAACGUUGAAGACGACGACGUUGAUAGGCCGGGUGUGUAAGCGCAGCGAUGCGUUGAGCUAACCGGUACUAAUGAACCGUGAGGCUUAACCUU